RNAcentral lists this ribosomal RNA (222 nucleotides) under uncultured bacterium. RNAcentral describes it as "partial 16S ribosomal RNA". It matches the Rfam family "Bacterial small subunit ribosomal RNA", at positions 109 to 334 of the family's 1533-position model. The record is from RNAcentral.
AGUAAUGUAUGGGGAUCUGCCCGGUAGAGGGGGAUAACUACUGGAAACGGUGGCUAAUACCGCAUAAUGUCUACGGACCAAAGCAGGGGCUCUUCGGACCUUGCACUAUCGGAUGAACCCAUAUGGGAUUAGCUAGUAGGUGGGGUAAAGGCUCACCUAGGCGACGAUCUCUAGCUGGUCUGAGAGGAUGAUCAGCCACACUGGGACUGAGACACGGCCCAG